RNAcentral lists this unclassified non-coding RNA (431 nucleotides) under soil metagenome. RNAcentral describes it as "partial contains 5.8S ribosomal RNA, internal transcribed spacer 2, and large subunit ribosomal RNA". The stretch from base 1 to 119 matches the Rfam family "5.8S ribosomal RNA", at positions 35 to 154 of the family's 154-position model. The record is from RNAcentral.
GAUGAAGACGUAGUGAAAUGCGAUACGUAAUGUGAAUUGCAGAAUUCAGUGAAUCAUCGAAUCUUUGAACGCAUAUUGCGCUCUCUGGUAUUCCGGAGAGCAUGCUUGUUUGAGUAUCAGUAAACACCUCAACUUCCAUAUCUUUUUUGAAAUGGGAGUUGGACUUGAGUGAUCCCAACGCUUUUCCUCACCGAAAAGUGGCGGGUUACUUGAAAUGCAGGUGCAGCUGGACUUUUCUCUGAGCUAUAAGCAUAUCUAUUUAGUCUGCCUAAAAAACAGAUUAUUACCUUUGCUGCAGCUAACAUAAAGGAGAUUAGUUCUUGUGCUGACUGAUGCAGGAUUCACAAAGACGGCUUCGGCCGACUUUGUAAACUCGAUCUCAAAUCAAGUAAGACUACCCGCUGAACUUAAGCAUAUCAAUAAGCGGAGGA